UUCUCCUGUAUGUGAAUGAAUGGUUGUG
Molecule: non-coding RNA, 28 nt
Filed under: Mus musculus (house mouse)
Lineage: Eukaryota; Metazoa; Chordata; Mammalia; Rodentia; Muridae
Source: RNAcentral